RNAcentral lists this small RNA (2409 nucleotides) under Pan troglodytes (chimpanzee). RNAcentral's name for it is "retained intron". The record is from RNAcentral. Lineage: Eukaryota; Metazoa; Chordata; Mammalia; Primates; Hominidae.
GGGAUUACAGGCGUGAGCCACCGCACCCGGUGAAACUCCAUCUCAAAAAAAAAAAGAAGGAAAGGAAAGGAAACAGACCUGUGUGCUCUAGCAGGGUGUUUUCCUCUGCCUGUUCUGCUCAGAGCCUUGGAAGAAAGUAAACUAUGAUGGGGGUGGCACAGGCCUCAAUCAUCUCCUUUUGGGGCUUGAGAGGGACACGGAAAGGCCUUCCCACUAUUUGUUUCUGGUCCUCCUCUUCGUUCUCUUAUGCAGGUGAUUGUGAUGUCAGCUACGAUGGAUGUGGACCUGUUCUCUCAGUAUUUCAAUGGCGCCCCCGUCCUCUACCUAGAGGGUCGGCAGCAUCCGAUCCAGGUGUUUUACACCAAACAGCCUCAGAAUGAUUACCUGCACGCCGCGCUUGUCUCCGUCUUCCAGAUCCACCAGGAAGCCCCUUCUUCACAGGACAUCCUGGUGUUCCUCACUGGGCAGGAGGAGAUCGAAGCCAUGAGCAAGACGUGCCGAGACAUUGCAAAGCACCUCCCAGACGGCUGCCCUGCGAUGCUGGUCCUUCCUCUAUAUGCCUCCCUGCCCUAUGCACAGCAGCUCCGAGUCUUCCAAGGGGCCCCAAAGGGCUAUCGCAAAGUGAUCAUUUCAACCAACAUCGCUGAAACCUCCAUAACCAUUACAGGAAUAAAAUAUGUAGUUGACACGGGCAUCGUUAAAGCAAAGAAGUAUAACCCUGACAGUGGUCUUGAGGUGUUAGCAGUGCAGCGGGUAUCGAAGACGCAGGCUUGGCAGCGCACAGGGAGGGCUGGCAGAGAGGACAGUGGCAUCUGCUACCGGCUCUACACGGAGGACGAGUUUGAGAAGUUUGAUAAGAUGACCGUGCCAGAGAUCCAGAGGUGUAACCUGGCCAGUGUGAUGCUUCAGCUUCUAGCAAUGAAAGUCCCAAAUGUGCUCACCUUUGACUUCAUGUCCAAGCCAUCUCCAGAUCACAUUCAGGCGGCCAUUGCCCAACUGGACCUGUUAGGUGCUCUUGAACAUAAGGAUGACCAGCUUACCCUGACUCCAAUGGGAAGAAAGAUGGCAGCAUUUCCUUUAGAACCCAAAUUUGCCAAAACCAUCCUCAUGUCCCCCAAAUUCCACUGUACAGAGGAGAUCCUGACCAUUGUCUCCCUGCUGUCUGUGGACAGCGUCCUCCACAACCCUCCUUCCCGGCGAGAGGAAGUGCAAGGGGUCCGCAAGAAGUUCAUAUCCAGCGAGGGGGAUCACAUGACCCUGCUCAAUAUCUAUCGGACCUUCAAAAACCUAGGCGGAAAUAAGGAUUGGUGCAAAGAGAAUUUUGUCAACAGCAAGAAUAUGAUGCUGGUAGCAGAAGUCAGAGCACAGCUGAGGGACAUCUGCUUAAAGAUGUCAAUGCCAAUCGCAUCAUCCCGAGGAGACGUGGAGAGUGUCCGCCGCUGCCUGGCUCACAGCCUCUUCAUGAGCACCGCCGAGCUUCAGCCAGACGGCACCUAUGCCACCACGGACACCCACCAGCCAGUGGCCAUCCACCCGUCGUCUGUCCUCUUCCACUGCAAGCCGGCCUGCGUCGUGUACACUGAGCUGCUCUACACCAACAAGUGCUACAUGCGGGACCUCUGCGUCAUAGAUGCAGAGUGGCUGUACGAGGCUGCCCCUGAGCACUUUAGGAGGAAGCUGAGAACCGCCAGAAACUGAGCCGCCCCAGGAUGCCGCCAGAAUCACUGGUCCCUGGGAGCUUGGACUACAGUUGUCCUCACAGCAGGCUUCCAGGUUGGCGCUUAGAGAAGCCUUGGAAUCAGCUGAAGGUGCCUGACUUCCAGGAGCGUGAAAGCAUCUUUGCUCAACUCCUGGGACUGAACCAUGUAGACAUGAACAUAUCAUUUGUACCUGGAAACCUCAAAAUUAUGCUUUUGGUUCUUACUGGGUGACUUUGACUUAAUUAACACCUGAGCCUCAGUUUUCUCAUCUGCCAAAUGGGAGUAAUAAUAAUAAUCCUUAUAAAAUUGGGUGCAUAAAGUUUAGAGAAAAGGAAUGGAAAGUACCCAGAACUAUGCCUGGAGCACGACACACGUACAGUGAGUUGGGAGCCGUUAGGCUGAAUGUUACUGCUUUCGAUAUGAUGUGAAGUACAGCAAUAUCCCAAGUUCUUGUGACUGAGGGAGAUUUUCUGGAAGGGCCACAGGAGGUUGCGGAGCUUGGAUGUUGCCCUUAGUUCUUGUUUAAUGUCUCUCUGAAUGCAGUUUUAAAAUAGAAAACAAAACUGACUUCUGUAGAAGUUUCCAGAGGGAGGUGCUGUUAUCUCGUACCUCCUGGGAUGGCGAUCCCUACUGAACGCUUGUGUCUCAGGGUGGACCGCUCUGUGUCUGUCUCCAAGCAGAGACCAGUAAAGGAGCCUCCUGGUCCUCG